UACGUAGGGGACGAGCGUUGUCCGGAAUUACUGGGCGUAAAGGGCGCGCAGGCUGUGCUGCAAGUCAGCUGUUAAAUGUCUGGGCUUAACCCGGGCAUGCGGUUGAGACUGCGGUGCUGGAGUGCUGUAGAGGCAAGUGGAAUUCCCAGUGUAGCGGUGAAAUGCGUAGAUAUUGGGAAGAACACCAGUGGCGAAGGCGGCUUCCUGGCACAAUACUGACGCUCAUGUGCGAAAGCUAGGGCAGCGAACGGG
Molecule: ribosomal RNA, 252 nt
Filed under: uncultured prokaryote
Description: partial 16S ribosomal RNA
Rfam family: Bacterial small subunit ribosomal RNA
Source: RNAcentral